UCCACGGAUAGUAAUUGUUUUAACUGUAGGAAAAAUAAAGGUAUUUAUGGUAACUGUUUACAUAUGUAACCUUUUUUGGGUGGUUUUAUUUUGUUUUUUUAUGUGUGAAAUGAUGCAGAUAAAAACUUAAAAUUUUGGGAGUCUUCAAGUUCAGGGCAUAAUUGGGUAGAAGCAGUUGCAGCCAAACGAUAAGGGAUCUUGGCAGGAAGAAAGAGAACCACAAUAUCGGAUACGACAAAAGGUGGCCAUAAAGAGAGAGAAGGUAGAUAGAGAAACCGAUGAAGAAUGGGAACAAGAAGUCGAUGAAGGGCAGGUGGUGGGUACCUUUGACGUUGUACAGAAGUUACCCUCUAGUGUAACACAUGUUACAAACAUGUGUUACAUAUGUUCAACCCCUUUGUUAC
Molecule: long non-coding RNA, 404 nt
Organism: Helianthus annuus (common sunflower)
Lineage: Eukaryota; Viridiplantae; Streptophyta; Magnoliopsida; Asterales; Asteraceae
Exons: 2
Source: RefSeq, a predicted model, not a curated record